This 405-nucleotide ribosomal RNA is filed under the name Triticum aestivum (bread wheat). RNAcentral's name for it is "partial small subunit ribosomal RNA". Lineage: Eukaryota; Viridiplantae; Streptophyta; Magnoliopsida; Poales; Poaceae. The record is from RNAcentral.
AUGACCUCCACCAUGGUGCCCGCCGAGAUCCUGUUCUCCGUCGACGCACCGUCGUCGCAUGAGGACUUGGAUGCCUGGCUCGCUGACAACCUCCCCCAAAUCCUACAGGAGGUUCAGGUGAAUUUGGGCUUGCCGAAAUAUAGGAGUGUGCUACGUGCCGCAGCAGGUUUGGAUGCGGCAAUAAAGACCAUGGCUCGGCUUGGGGAGCAUCAAGCAUCGACUUAUGUGAAGAGGCCAAGAUUCAAGGAUUUAAAUUGUCAAGAUAUAUGGUUGUUGGGGAUUCAAUAUUGUGCCAUUGUAUUUAAAAUUUUGAAUGAGCUGUCUGCCAUUGUUUAUAUCACAUCUUCCUUUGCUAGACCACAUGAGCUGAUUCCAACUUUGGCCUCAAGUUGCUCCCGUCUAUGA